GGGCCCGCACAAGCGGUGGAGCAUGUGGUUUAAUUCGAUGCAACGCGAAGAACCUUACCAGGGCUUGACAUACUACGAAUCUCCUCGAAACGGGAGAGUGCCUUCGGGAAUGUAGAUACAGGUGGUGCAUGGCUGUCGUCAGCUCGUGUCGUGAGAUGUUGGUUAAGUCCCGCAACGAGCGCAACCCACGUCUUUAGUUGCCAGCAUUUAGUUGGGCACUCUAGAGAGACUGCCGGUGAUAAACCGGAGGAAGGUGUGGAUGACGUCAAGUCAUCAUGCCCCUUACAUCCUGGGCUACACACGUACUACAAUGCUACGGACAAAGGGCAGCAAGUUCGCGAGGAC
This 345-nucleotide ribosomal RNA is filed under the name uncultured bacterium. RNAcentral's name for it is "bacterial SSU rRNA". It matches the Rfam family "Bacterial small subunit ribosomal RNA", at positions 917 to 1264 of the family's 1533-position model. The record is from RNAcentral.